UAAAAAAAGGUUUGGAUUUUAAGUUUUCUCGAAUUUAUAAGAGCUAAGAAUUUAUAUAUUUUAAUGUUGAAAAAUUAUUUAAAAUAUUUUCUUUGAUAUUAGACGUUAGUCGGUUUUAAAUAUAUCUAGUUUUUUAAGAAAUUGAUUUAAUUAAGCUGAUUUUUGGUGAUUUUGAAUUUCAAAUUAAUCUAGGAAUUAAGUAAUAUUUGAGGGGAUAAGCUUUUGAAUAAAUUUCUAUAAAUUUAAGUUUAUUAAAAAUUGAGUAGGAAUAGAAGUUUUCAUUUUUUAUAGUGUUUUAUAUCAAUAUUUUUGUAUAGGUAAUUUAUUUAUUUUUAGAUUUUUUAUUAGAAUGUUAAAUUUAAUAUGGGUUUUUAAGUAAUAAUGAUUAAAUAAGUAUAAUUUACUGUUUUAAUAUUUAAUUUAUGUGAGUUUUAGUUAAGUAAUUCGGCAAAUUAAUUUUCUGCCUGUUUAUUAAAAACAUGGCCUUUUGGAAAUUAUUUAAGGUCCGGCCUGCCCAAUGAUUGUAAUUAAAUGGCCGCGGUACUUUGACCGUGCAAAGGUAGCAUAAUCAUUAGUUUUUUAAUUGAAAGCUUGAAUGAACGGUUAAACAAGAAAAUUACUGUCUCAAUUAAAUGGUUUUAGAAUUUUAUCUUUUAGUUAGAAAGCUUAAAUGUUUUUAAGGGACGAGAAGACCCUAUAGAAUUUUAUAAGUUUCUUUAGUUUGUAUUUUUGGCUUAAUUGUUGUGAAUUGGGGAAAUUUAUUUCGUUGGGGUGAUGGAAAAAUUUGAGAAACUUUUUUUUAAGUUAAUCACUAAUAUGUGUUUUUAUGAUCCGUUAUUUUACGAUUAGAAGAAAAAAUUACCUUAGGGAUAACAGCGUAAUUAAUUUGGAGAGUUCUUAUUGAUAAAUUAGUUUGCGACCUCGAUGUUGGAUUAAAAUUAACUUUUGGUGUAGGGGCUUUAAAGUUAAGUCUGUUCGACUUUUAAAAUUUU
RNAcentral lists this ribosomal RNA (992 nucleotides) under Dorcus rubrofemoratus. Its description in RNAcentral is "partial 16S ribosomal RNA". The stretch from base 397 to 992 matches the Rfam family "Archaeal large subunit ribosomal RNA", at positions 1423 to 2666 of the family's 2987-position model. The record is from RNAcentral. Lineage: Eukaryota; Metazoa; Arthropoda; Insecta; Coleoptera; Lucanidae.